This 450-nucleotide ribosomal RNA is filed under the name uncultured bacterium. Its description in RNAcentral is "partial 16S ribosomal RNA". It matches the Rfam family "Bacterial small subunit ribosomal RNA", at positions 354 to 796 of the family's 1533-position model. The record is from RNAcentral.
GUGGGGAAUAUUGGACAAUGGGCGAAAGCCUGAUCCAGCCAUGCCGCGUGUGUGAAGAAGGUCUUCGGAUUGUAAAGCACUUUAAGUUGGGAGGAAGGGCAGUAAGUUAAUACCUUGCUGUUUUGACGUUACCGACAGAAUAAGCACCGGCUAACUUCGUGCCAGCAGCCGCGGUAAUACGAAGGGUGCAAGCGUUAAUCGGAAUUACUGGGCGUAAAGCGCGCGUAGGUGGUUUUGUAAGUUUGACGUGAAAUCCCCGGGCUCAACCUGGGAACUGCCUCCAAAAAUGCAUGACUAGAGUACGGUAGAGUGUAGUUGAAUUUCCUGUGUAGCGGUGAAAUGCGUAGAUAUAGGAAGGAACACCAGUGGCGAAGGCGACUACCUGGACUGAUACUGACACUGAGGUGCGAAAGCGUGGGGAGCAAACAGGAUUAGAUACCCGAGUAGUCC